AAGUAUUCAAAAUCAGAAACAAUUUGCUUUCAGUUAACACGAACAAACAUCUCAGUUACGGCAUGCUGUAUACGUGGAGGAUUAUGAAGAAGCUUCUAGGCUUCAGGUGGCGAUUGCAGCUGCAUCUAACAAUGACAGUGUUGGAAAAGUGAUAUCUCUUCUCAAAAGAGCCAUAAAAGAAGAGCGGUACCAUGAUGCAGCUUUUA
This is a long non-coding RNA of Lathyrus oleraceus (garden pea), 206 nucleotides long. RefSeq lists it as uncharacterized. The transcript has 3 exons. Lineage: Eukaryota; Viridiplantae; Streptophyta; Magnoliopsida; Fabales; Fabaceae. The record is from RefSeq and is a predicted model, not a curated record.